Molecule: long non-coding RNA, 674 nt
Filed under: Ananas comosus (pineapple)
Lineage: Eukaryota; Viridiplantae; Streptophyta; Magnoliopsida; Poales; Bromeliaceae
Description: long non-coding RNA (ACOM_LNC008270)
Source: RNAcentral
AAAAGAGAUCGUUGAGGAGGCUAUUUCAAUACGGCCUACAGAAGGUUCUCCAUUAGGGGUGGCAAUCCAGCUCACUAUUUGUAAACUUGCUCGUGUUCAGCUCGAAAUGAGUUCGAGAUCGAAUCACUCAUUUAGUAAACGAGUCGAGCACGAGCUGAAAUUUUCAUUUCGUUUAAUAAACGAGCCGAACACGAGCUGAGAUCAGUUCACUUGUGUUCGGCUCGAUAACAUCUCGAAUACAUAUAUUUUGUAUAUAUAUAUAUAUAUAAACUAAUAAGUAUAUAUGUAUAUAAUAUAAUUUUUUAUUAUUUGAUUUUUAGUUCAAUCUAAAUAUAAAGUCAAUUCAAUUAUAAAAUGAUUCAUUUAUAUGUAAAAUUUCAAUCAUUAGAUCAAAAUAUAACGGAUAAGAUUUUAUAAAUUUAUUUCUUAUAUAUAUUCUUUCUAAUCCUUUUAAAUUUUUAUUCAUAAGUCAGCUCGUAUUCGGGUCAUGUUUGUUUGGCUUGUUAAUAAACGAGCCGAAUACAAGUCGAAUUUUUCGACUCGAUAUUUUAACGAGCUAACUCGUAUUCGGCUCGUUUAUGAAACGAGUCGAAUAUAAGUCGACCCCAGCUCGCUCAUGUUUGGCUCGUUGACACCCCUAUUCUCCAUACAUAUUUACCUAAUAAAAUAUUACG